This 1306-nucleotide ribosomal RNA is filed under the name uncultured bacterium. RNAcentral describes it as "bacterial SSU rRNA". It matches the Rfam family "Bacterial small subunit ribosomal RNA", at positions 28 to 1381 of the family's 1533-position model. The record is from RNAcentral.
AACGUACGCUGGCGGCACGCCUAACACAUGCAAGUCGAACGAAGUAGCAAUACUUAGUGGCAGACGGGUGAGUAACAUGUAGGUAUCUGCCCUUUGGCCUGGAAUAACACGAGGAAACUUGUGCUAAUACCGGAUAAGUCUUUACGGAGAAAGCUUUAUGCACCAUUGGAUGAGCCUGCACUUGAUUAGUUUGUUGGUGGGGUAAUGGCCUACCAAGACUGUGAUCAAUAGCUGAUUUGAGAGGAUGAUCAGCCACAUUGGGACUGAGACACGGCCCAAACUCCUACGGGAGGCAGCAGUGGGGAAUCUUGCACAAUGGAGGAAACUCUGAUGCAGCGAUGCCGCGUGAGUGAAGAAGGCCCUUGGGUUGUAAAGCUCUUUCGUCGGGGAAGAAAAUGACUGUACCCGAAUAAGAAGGUCCGGCUAACUUCGUGCCAGCAGCCGCGGUAAUACGAAGGGACCUAGCGUAGUUCGGAAUUACUGGGCUUAAAGAGUUCGUAGGUGGUUGAAAAAGUUAGUGGUGAAAUCCCAGAGCUUAACUCUGGAACUGCCAUUAAAACUUUUCAGCUAGAGUAUGAUAGAGGAAAGCAGAAUUUCUAGUGUAGAGGUGAAAUUCGUAGAUAUUAGAAAGAAUACCAAUUGCGAAGGCAGCUUUCUGGAUCAUUACUGACACUGAGGAACGAAAGCAUGGGUAGCGAAGAGGAUUAGAUACCCUCGUAGUCCAUGCCGUAAACGAUGUGUGUUAGACGUUGGAAAUUUAUUUUCAGUGUCGCAGGGAAACCGAUAAACACACCGCCUGGGGAGUACGACCGCAAGGUUAAAACUCAAAUGAAUUGACGGGGACCCGCACAGGUAGUGGAGCAUGUGGUUUAAUUCGAAGAUACGCGCAGAACCUUACCAACACUUGACAUGUUCGUCGCGACUCUAAGAGAUUAGAGUUUUCGGUUCGGCCGGACGAAACACAGGUGCUGCAUGGCUGUCGUCAGCUCGUGUCGUGAGAUGUUGGGUUAAGUCCCGCAACGAGCGCAACCCUCACUUUUAGUUGCCAUCAUUAAGUUGGGCACUCUGAAAGAACUGCCAGUGAUAAGCUGGAGGAAGGUGGGGAUGACGUCAAGUCCUCAUGGCCCUUACGUGUUGGGCUACACACGUGCUACAAUGGUAUCUACAACAGGAAGCAAAACUGCGAAGUUAAGCAAAUCCCUAAAAGAUACCUCAGUUCGGAUUGCACUCUGCAACUCGAGUGCAUGAAGCUGGAAUUACUAGUAAUCGUGGAUCAGCGUGCCACGGUGAAUGCGUUCCCGGGUCU